RNAcentral lists this unclassified non-coding RNA (203 nucleotides) under uncultured Asterostroma. RNAcentral's name for it is "sequence contains ITS2". The record is from RNAcentral. Lineage: Eukaryota; Fungi; Basidiomycota; Agaricomycetes; Russulales; Lachnocladiaceae.
AUACUACUCCCUACAACCUCUUCAAUAGAGGAAUGUUGUAGAGGGAUUUGGGAGUCUGUGCAGUGAAUAUACUGCUCUCCUUAAAUGAAUUAGCAGUGAUUAUUAAAGAUCCCUUUGGUUGAUGUGAUAGUUAUCUCCUCUCAGCCCUUCUUUGAAUAGUCAUUUCUGCUUAAAGUUGUCUUUGCUAAAGAGACAGUUACAAC